Molecule: long non-coding RNA, 2113 nt
Filed under: Homo sapiens (human)
Lineage: Eukaryota; Metazoa; Chordata; Mammalia; Primates; Hominidae
Description: HSALNT0077591
Source: RNAcentral
UUGAUGCAAACACUGAAGAAAAGGGCCUUUUUGUGGGCAGAAAGUGCUUGACAUGUGGCUGUCAACUUCAUACCACUAUUACUGUCUUUUUUGUAACUUUUGCUGCCAAGUCCCUUCUGAGACCUGACAGUGGACAUGCAACUCCAUGUCAGGAUAAUCGGCCUCCAGUGUGCUCAUACAAGUGAGGGAGGAGCAGAGCUACUUCAGUGUUGACAAAAUUUCUGAUCAUGCAGUGUAGAAUCCAGAGCCUCUAAGUGAAUAUUACUUCAGUGUAGAAAAUUUGGAACGAGACUUCUUUCUUCGGGGAAAGAUGGAUGAACAAGGUUUCUUGCCUAUUUCCCUGAUUGCUGGUUUUCAGCGUGUUCAGGCUCUCACUACAAACCUUAAUCUCAUCUUAGAGGCACUGAAGGAUAGCACAGAAGUAGAAAUUGUGGAUGAGAAAAUGAGAAAAAAGAUAGAACCAGAAAAAUGGCCAAUUCCAGGCCCUCCUCCACGCAGUGUGCCACCAACAGACUUCUCUCAACUGAUUGAUUGUCCAGAGUUUGUACCAGGCCAAGCCUUUUGCUCACAUACAGGUAACAUCUUUUCUUCUAGAGCAAACGAUGUAACAGUGGGUUAUUUGGUCCAAUUUACUUACUUAUUUAUUUAUUUUCAGUUUAUUUAGAUUUGAUAGGAAAAUUAAAGCUAACUGAAAGACUUUUGAGUCCCAUUUUGUAUUCAUAUUGCCUCACUCACAGAGUUACAAAUUAAAUAAGGAUUUAAGAAUUAUGAGGAAAGCUGUCUUAUGUUUCUUGUUCUUAAAUUAUAUGUGUACUUUGUCAUGUAUGGAGUUUCUAUCUUUUAUUUUUACUAAAUAACUAUAGAUAUGUAUCGUUUUCCCCUGUAAAAUUGGAAUAGUAUGAUUGGAUUAUUCUAAAAAGGUCUUAUACUCAAGAGUGGGGUAGUCUUCCUUUAAUUUUGUUACCAAUACGCUUUAAUCUUGUCUUGGAAAGAUAAAAUGACCUGCAUUCUAAAUUAGAAUUGGGGUUCUGUUUAAUUUGGUUGUGUUUAGAAUUUCCAAAAGAUUUAAUGUUAAUAAUUUUUUCCUGGAUCAUUUUUAAGACAUUCCCUCUUGGGAAAAAAUGUGUGCUUAAACUUUUUUCAGUCAGGGUGAUGAUCUUCUGAAGCUCUUGGAUGUCAUUUGAUCGGAAUAUGCAGUGGAAUAGGUGACUCACUGAAAUGCCUUUAUAAAUACUGGAACAAAUCCUGCUGCAAAAAUGAAAGCGAUCAGACUGUCUUCUGUUCAAGAAUGUCUAUUCCCACCUCUUGGUGGAGGAAGUUGGGCCAACACUGCAGUGGAGAUAACCACCUUUGCGAUAAUGAGAGACAGACCAGAGGACUGCUACUCUUUUUAUAGGAGCUGCCUAUUUCUGUGUAAUUGGCCUGGGCUGCAUGGGCUGCUUUUAUUCAUGGUGGGAAAGUUAAUUAUUAUUAUUCUGGAAAUACCGCAAGAUUAUGUUUUCUGUUUCCAGGGUUAUGUACUUGUGUCCAGAUGAAUAAAGCAGAAAAAGAGGGGAUUGAGUAGCAUUUCCCAGAUUCUUAAGUACUUUGCUAUUCGAUUUGCCUUUCAGUGUAGUGUACAUUGUAAAACUCAGAUAUUGUCAUGAUGUUUCACUUGGACAUAAGACUUAUUAAUGUGGUCACUUAAGGGGUAAGGAAUUUAAGAACUGGAUGAGGUUAUUUCUUCCUUUACUCUUCAAAAUGUAUUUUUGAUACAUCAGUAUGAGAGGACGUCCCAUCAACAAAGCAUCGAUGAUGGACAGUCUCACACUAUUUUUAUCAUAUGUUUCUUUGUCAGCCUUCUGCUUCUAAUCCCAGUAAGCAACUUGGACAGGCAUUUUAAAAGCUGAAGAAAAGUGACAUUAUUUUAGCUAGUGGUUUUUAAUUUAUUUUUUGUUAAGAUAUAAUGGGUGAUUAUAUAAGUUAGAUUUAUUUAUGAUAUCAACUUGGGUCCAAGAUGAUAGUUUUAGCUAGCUUAUGAACAUUGGGUUCACAAGGCAUUGGGUAAGUUAGAUAAAAUAGCAUAUACUUUCUCUGCAGGGUAGGUAAGAUAGGUCAGUCAAGUUGGUAAUGC